Molecule: ribosomal RNA, 554 nt
Filed under: uncultured bacterium
Lineage: Bacteria
Description: bacterial SSU rRNA
Rfam family: Bacterial small subunit ribosomal RNA
Source: RNAcentral
GAGCCGAGUGGCGGACGGGUGAGUAACGCGUAGGGACCUGCCUUGGAGAGGGGGAUAACCCGGGGAAACUCGGGCUAAUACCGCAUGAUACCGUUGUCUUUUAGAUGACGGUCAAAUAGUGGCUUCGGCUGCUGCUCUGAGAAGGACCUGCGUCCGAUUAGCUUGUUGGUGGGGUAAAGGCCUACCAAGGCGACGAUCGGUAGCUGUUCUGAGAGGAAGAUCAGCCACACUGGGACUGAGACACGGCCCAGACUCCUACGGGAGGCAGCAGUGGGGAAUAUUGGACAAUGGGGGCAACCCUGAUCCAGCGAUGCCGCGUGUGUGAAGAAGGCCCGAGGGUUGUAAAGCACUUUCAGUAGGGAGGAAGUUAUUGUGGUGAAUAGCCAUGAUAAUUGACGUUACCUACAGAAGAAGCACCGGCUAACUCUGUGCCAGCAGCCGCGGUAAUACAGAGGGUGCGAGCGUUAAUCGGAAUUACUGGGCGUAAAGGGCGCGUAGGCGGUUAUUUAAGUUGGCUGUGAAAGACCUGGGCUCAACCUGGGACGGCCAGUCAA